CUGAUUUUGCAAAAAUUCACCAAUCGAGAAGCAUUCUUUUCCUUUUAAAGUGGAAUAUUGAUUAGGGUAGAAAUCUGAUUGGACCAGGUGUCCUGCUGGGUACAAGCUCACCUGCAAAGUUUGUUACAGUAUAGGAUAAAACUGCGCCGAACAGUGACAGCUGUACUGGAUUCAUGAAGACCCAGGGACCUGGUACCUUGUUGUCAGUUAAUUAUCAUCAAAACAAGAUAUAGCACGGACUAAUAAGGAAAGUAAGGCAAACAAUUUGAAAUGGAGGGAGUACGAUUUUGCUAGUCAUCCAUCAACUAUAAGAAAAAUUGGAGAAAUUUUAUAUUCUGAAUUACUCGUAUAUAGAUGAUAGAGUUACCAUGAGGAUUUUUCCAAGACUUCUUGUAUUUCCGUUAAGGGAAACUCAUAUAUUUGCUUAAGAUUUCAUGACCAAGUUGUAUCUGAGUUGAUACAUUCUUAGCAAUGUCUGUGGAAGAAAGUGAUGAUUCUUUAAUUUCAGUUACUCUUAAAGAAAGGUAAUAUAUGUGUGCUUGACUUGGUUGAUUUAGUUUCUUAAAUUGUCAUACAUACGUGAAAUCCCUACACACUGAAAUUGCCGAGUCUCAGCAACUUAGAUGAAGUCAUACAUCCUUGUUUUCCACCACCCAUAGAACUGCCUAUUAAAUCUAGGUGGUCUAGUUGUAGAUUGCCCUUCUUCCAGAUUAGUUGGAGCAACCAUGAUAACCAAAUCACUCUAGGUGUUAGCCUUUUAAAGUGUUCUAGCUCUGAUACCAAUUGAUGAAACAUAAGGGAGUUGCACCACACUAUGAGGGACCAGGUACUUUAGAGUCAGACAUAGGCAAUAAAACAGUAAACUAAAACCUUGUAGGAAGUAAAGAACUCAAUGAUUUAACGUGAAAGCCUCCUUACUCAAGGGAAGAAAAACCACGACUUGCUCCCACAAGCAUUCAACAACAAUCUACUAUAAUCAAACUCUUGAUUAGAGACUCGAUUUGAACCUAACUCUAGGCUCAGCUAGUUUGUAACAACUCUAUUACAAACCUACCUUGACAACUUUGCCAAGAACUCACCUUGAUAUUGAUUAACUCUAACCAAUAUCAAACUAAGUUAACUCUACCUAAGCACUCUCAAGAACACAAAAAGAUAAUACUCCUAUAACACGAGUAAUUCAGUUACAGAUCAUGACUUGACUCUUUCAGUACAUGAAGAAAUUAAGAACUUGAGCAAUAUUGCAAAGUUGAGUUUUCGCCUAUUUCCCUCUCCUCGCUUCUGAUUUUGCAAAAAUUCACCAAUCGAGAAGCAUUCUUUUCCUUUUAAAGUGGAAUAUUGAUUAGGGUAGAAAUCUGAUUGGACCAGGUGUCCUGCUGGGUACAAGCUCACCUGCAAAGUUUGUUACAGUAUAGGAUAAAACUGCGCCGAACAGUGACAGCUGUACUGGAUUCAUGAAGACCCAGGGACCUGGUACCUUGUUGUCAGUUAAUUAUCAUCAAAACAAGAUAUAGCACGGACUAAUAAGGAAAGUAAGGCAAACAAUUUGAAAUGGAGGGAGUACGAUUUUGCUAGUCAUCCAUCAACUAUAAGAAAAAUUGGAGAAAUUUUAUAUUCUGAAUUACUCGUAUAUAGAUGAUAGAGUUACCAUGAGGAUUUUUCCAAGACUUCUUGUAUUUCCG
Molecule: long non-coding RNA, 1679 nt
Filed under: Capsicum annuum
Lineage: Eukaryota; Viridiplantae; Streptophyta; Magnoliopsida; Solanales; Solanaceae
Description: long non-coding RNA (CANN_LNC002810)
Source: RNAcentral